AGAGGUUUAGGAUAAUAACUAAAACCAGAGGCCUUCAAAGCCCCAAACGAGAGUGAAAACCUCUCAACCUCUA
RNAcentral lists this transfer RNA (73 nucleotides) under Fluviphylax pygmaeus. RNAcentral describes it as "tRNA-Trp". It matches the Rfam family "tRNA". Rfam says of the family: Transfer RNA (tRNA) molecules are approximately 80 nucleotides in length. Lineage: Eukaryota; Metazoa; Chordata; Actinopteri; Cyprinodontiformes; Fluviphylacidae. The record is from RNAcentral.